UCAGGCCUAACACAUGCAAGUCGAACGCCCUCUUCGGAGGGAGUGGCAGACGGGUGAGUAACGCGUGGGAACCUACCUAUCAGUACGGAACAACUCAGGGAAACUUGUGCUAAUACCGUAUACGUCCUUCGGGAGAAAGAUUUAUCGCUGAUAGAUGGGCCCGCGUUAGAUUAGCUAGUUGGUGAGGUAACGGCUCACCAAGGCGACGAUCUAUAGCUGGUCUGAGAGGAUGAUCAGCCACACUGGAACUGAGACACGGUCCAGACUCCUACGGGAGGCAGCAGUGGGGAAUAUUGGACAAUGGGCGCAAGCCUGAUCCAGCCAUGCCGCGUGAGUGAUGAAGGCCCUAGGGUUGUAAAGCUCUUUCAACGGUGAAGAUAAUGACGGUAGCCGUAGAAGAAGCCCCGGCUAACUUCGUGCCAGCAGCCGCGGUAAUACGAAGGGGGCGAGCGUUGUUCGGAAUCACUGGGCGUAAAGCGUACGUAGGCGGAUAGAUUAGUUAGGGGUGAAAUCCCGAGGCUCAACCUCGGAACUGCCUCUAAUACUGUCUAUCUAGAGAUCGAGAGAGGUGAGUGGAAUUCCUAGUGUAGAGGUGAAAUUCGUAGAUAUUACGAAGAACACCAGUGGCGAAAGCGGCUCACUGGCUCGAUACUGACGCUGAGGUACGAAAGCGUGGGGAGCAAACAGGAUUAGAUACCCU
RNAcentral lists this ribosomal RNA (700 nucleotides) under uncultured bacterium. RNAcentral describes it as "bacterial SSU rRNA". It matches the Rfam family "Bacterial small subunit ribosomal RNA", at positions 42 to 788 of the family's 1533-position model. The record is from RNAcentral.